AGGGAUUGCCCUAGUAACGGCGAGUGAAGCGGCAACAGCUCAAAUUUGAAAGCUAGCCUUCGGGUUCGCAUUGUAAUUUGUAGAGGAUGCUUUGGGUAAAACGCCAGUCUAAGUUCCUUGGAACAGGACGUCAUAGAGGGUGAGAAUCCCGUAUGUGACUGGAAAUGUUAACCUAUGUAAAGCUCCUUCGACGAGUCGAGUUGUUUGGGAAUGCAGCUCUAAAUGGGAGGUAAAUUUCUUCUAAAGCUAAAUAUUGGCGAGAGACCGAUAGCGCACAAGUAGAGUGAUCGAAAGAUGAAAAGCACUUUGGAAAGAGAGUUAAAAAGCACGUGAAAUUGUUGAAAGGGAAGCGCUUGCAAUCAGACUUGUUUAAACUGUUCGGCCGGUCUUCUGACCGGUUUACUCAGUUUGGACAGGCCAGCAUCAGUUUCGGCGGCCGGAUAAAGGCAUUGGGAAUGUGGCCUUCACUUCGGUGGAGGUGUUAUAGCCCAGUGUGUAAUACGGCCAGCCGGGACUGAGGUCCGCGCUUCGGCUAGGAUGCUGGCGUAA
RNAcentral lists this ribosomal RNA (549 nucleotides) under Aureobasidium pullulans. RNAcentral's name for it is "eukaryotic LSU rRNA". It matches the Rfam family "Eukaryotic large subunit ribosomal RNA", at positions 70 to 634 of the family's 3401-position model. Lineage: Eukaryota; Fungi; Ascomycota; Dothideomycetes; Dothideales; Saccotheciaceae. The record is from RNAcentral.